CCUACGGGAGGCAGCAGUGGGGAAUAUUGGACAAUGGGGGGAACCCUGAUCCAGCGACGCCGCGUGAGUGAAGAAGUAUUUCGGUAUGUAAAGCUCUAUCAGCAGGGAAGAAAAUGACGGUACCUGACUAAGAAGCCCCGGCUAACUACGUGCCAGCAGCCGCGGUAAGACGUAGGGGGCAAGCGGUAUCCGGAUUUACUGGGUGUAAAGGGAGCGUAGACGGUGCAGCAAGUCUGAUGUGAAAGGUCGGGGCCCAACCCCGGGACUGCAUUUGAAACUGUUGAACUGGAGUACAGGAGGGGGAAGCGGAAUUCCUAGGGUAGCAGUGAAAUGCGUAGAUAUUAGGAGGAACACCAGUGGCGAAGGCGGGUUACUGGACAGUAACUGACGUUGAGGCUCGAAAGCGUGGGGAGCAAACGGGAUUAGAUACCCUUGUAGUC
RNAcentral lists this ribosomal RNA (440 nucleotides) under uncultured bacterium. RNAcentral's name for it is "partial 16S ribosomal RNA". It matches the Rfam family "Bacterial small subunit ribosomal RNA", at positions 338 to 795 of the family's 1533-position model. The record is from RNAcentral.